GACGAACGCUGGCGGCGUGCUUAACACAUGCAAGUCGAACGGAAAGGCCCUGCUUUUGUGGGGUGCUCGAGUGGCGAACGGGUGAGUAACACGUGAGUAACCUGCCCUUGACUUUGGGAUAACUUCAGGAAACUGGGGCUAAUAUCGGAUAGGAGCUCCUGCUGCAUGGUGAGGGUUGGAACGUUUCGGCGGUUGGGGAUGGACUCGCGGCUUAUCAGCUUGUUGGUGGGGUAGUGGUUUACCAAGGGUUUGACGGGUCGCCGGCCUGUGAGGGUGACCGGCGACAUGGGGACUGAGGGACGGCGCAGACUGGUACGGGAGGCAGCGGGGGGGAAUAUUGCACAAGGGGCCGGAGCCUGAUGCAGCAGCGCCGCGGGCGGGAUGACGGCCUUCGGGGUGUGAACAGCUGUCGCCUGUGACGCAGCGUGAGUGACGGUAAUGGGUAAAGAAGCACCGGCUAACUACGUG
RNAcentral lists this ribosomal RNA (468 nucleotides) under uncultured bacterium. Its description in RNAcentral is "partial 16S ribosomal RNA". It matches the Rfam family "Bacterial small subunit ribosomal RNA", at positions 28 to 507 of the family's 1533-position model. The record is from RNAcentral.